CACGACCAGACAUCAACGGACGAAUGGGAAGAGAGAAACCACGACCAGACGUCAACAGACGAAUGGGAAGAAAGAAACCACGACCAGACAUCAACGGAUGAAUGGGAAGAGAAAAACUUGAUGUUUACCGACAUCGAAAGAUGAUGUCUACUGACACCAAAAGAAAGGACCCACGCGGGGAUCAACACGACACCCACCGGUAUCG
RNAcentral lists this long non-coding RNA (205 nucleotides) under Lathyrus oleraceus (garden pea). RNAcentral's name for it is "Pisum sativum (pea) long non-coding RNA (PSAT_LNC023847)". The record is from RNAcentral. Lineage: Eukaryota; Viridiplantae; Streptophyta; Magnoliopsida; Fabales; Fabaceae.